RNAcentral lists this long non-coding RNA (1016 nucleotides) under Helianthus annuus (common sunflower). RNAcentral's name for it is "hypothetical non coding rna". Lineage: Eukaryota; Viridiplantae; Streptophyta; Magnoliopsida; Asterales; Asteraceae. The record is from RNAcentral.
AUGUUUGUUUUUACAUUUGAUGAAUUUGCAUUGUUGGUUGAAGAUGUUGGCUCAUAUUCAACCUUUCUGUAAGUUUUAACGUUCGAAGAGUGGGCCUUCUCAACCACGUAGUUUUGACCAGAGUCAACCGUUGCACUCCCUUCAGUCAUCGGAAUCUUGUAGCUGACCACAUCGUUUAGAAAGUUAACCGCUGCAAUCCCAGCUCUAACAAAAUGACCGGUUGUAAGACCCGACGGGUGCAUCUGGUCCGUUUCGUCAGCAUAACUUACACAAUCUGGUUUUACCAAUAAUGUUGGGUGGGAAGUUGAACGGUCAACUAUCUUAGACUCAGGUUUCGUGGAAUUCAAUAUUACGGUGGAAGCUUUGGGCACCAAAGCGGGCGCCUUUUGUGCGUUUCGGACUACAUUUGUGGUGGUAAUUUGCCUCUUAGAAGUGCAAGUUUCAUCUUCUGAACAAGUGCAUGAACUCCCGUCUGCACUACAUCUUGACCCGUUGAGAAAAAACGACCUAGCUGACUGGGACAGAACACCUAGCUGCUUCGUACGCAACAUGGUCUGUAAAAAGGUUUACCAUAAAAGAAACUAUCAGCUAACGUGAUUUCGACAAAUCUAUAAUCUCGAUCAAAUGUAUUGUUCGAUAAGAUCACCAUGUAACCGUACAUAUCUCUAUAACAAUUAACAAGAAGGUGAUUUCGACACCAUUCAUGUCUGCAACAUAAUAAUAAUAAUAAUAAUAAUAAUAAUUUCAAAAAUAUGCAAUGAAACGCAAUCUAAUAUGUUUCAACUCCUAGAAAAACCUAAUUUUGAUGUUUAAAUCUAGCCUGUUUUUUUUUUUUUUUUUUUUUUUUUUUUUUUUUUUACAAAUUCAAAAUUCUUGUUUUUAACUCCAAGAUCAUAACUUGCAUACAUUCCCAGUAAAUAUGAUGUACACAAAAUCUUUUCUACCUAACAAUCACAACAAAUUCAACCAGUUUUAAUCUAAAAUACAAAAUCAUCAGCAGCGCACAAGUCACGUGU